GGGGAUGUAGCUCAGUUGGUAUAGUACUUGCCUAACAUGCAUGAAGCCCUGGGCUCGAGCCCCAGCAUCCCAU
This is a non-coding RNA of Cricetulus griseus (Chinese hamster), 73 nucleotides long. The record is from Rfam. Lineage: Eukaryota; Metazoa; Chordata; Mammalia; Rodentia; Cricetidae.